UCCGUAGGUGAACCUGCGGAAGGAUCAUUACAUCAAUUGACACAACUCAACGAAGCCCUUAGUUGAAGUUUGGCGCGUCCGCGUGCUUCACUUCAACAAAAACAAAACUAAUUCAAUUAAAGGAACCUAACUAAGAACAACCACUGAAACCAAAUUCUCAACGAUGGAUGUCUUGGUUCCCACAACGAUGAAGAACGCAGCGAAGUGCGAUAAGCAGUGCGAAUUGCAGAACCGUGAGUCAUCAGAUUUUUGAACGCAACUGGCGCCGUACGGCCUUUGGCUGUCGGCACGCCUGGUCCAGUGUUUUGUUCCCUCAUGAUCAAAAUCAUAAUGCUUGAGAUGCCCUUCUCUUGCUAAGUAUGAAAGCACUCUGCGAUCUGCGCGAGGCCUUUUGGUCUCACUCAAUGCAGCAGUCACAUUGCUAACAGUGUGAACUCAUUGAGAGUGGACGCAGUGCGGCAAUAGCUGCAUGUGCUUAGUCACAUCAACUUAGGAAUCGCAUCUGGGCUCAGGUGGGACCACCCGCUGAACUUAAGCAUAUCAAUAAGCGGAG
Molecule: ribosomal RNA, 553 nt
Filed under: uncultured eukaryote
Lineage: Eukaryota
Description: eukaryotic LSU rRNA
Rfam family: 5.8S ribosomal RNA (bases 153-306)
Source: RNAcentral